AUUUCAUGGUUAGGGCAUUACAUAAUCUUAUCAUUUAAGCUUUCUCAUACUUCAUACAAGGGAUCUCCAUUGAGUUGACAAUAAUAAUGAUCUUAUUUCAUAAUU
Molecule: non-coding RNA, 105 nt
Organism: Capsicum annuum
Lineage: Eukaryota; Viridiplantae; Streptophyta; Magnoliopsida; Solanales; Solanaceae
Source: Rfam